GACCUACGGGACGCAGCAGUCGGGAAUAUUGCGCAAUGGAGGAAACUCUGAUGCAGCAACGCCGCGUGAGUGAAGAAGUAUUUCGGUAUGUAAAGCUCUAUCAGCAGGGAAGAAGAAAGACGGUACCUGACUAAGAAGCCCCGGCUAACUACGUGCCAGCAGCCGCGGUAAUACGUAGGGGGCAAGCGUUAUCCGGAAUUACUGGGUGUAAAGGGAGCGUAGACGGCAAUGCAAGUCCGGAGUGGAAUGCGGCAGCUCAACUGCCGAACUGCUCUGGAAACUGUAUGGCUUGAGUGCAGGAGGGG
This 305-nucleotide ribosomal RNA is filed under the name uncultured bacterium. Its description in RNAcentral is "bacterial SSU rRNA". It matches the Rfam family "Bacterial small subunit ribosomal RNA", at positions 335 to 657 of the family's 1533-position model. The record is from RNAcentral.